AUUAAACCAGGAUAAAAAAAAAUGUGAAAGUAGGCUAUACUGUUUUGGUCAGUUUAAUACCUUUUCUUGUCGGUGGGUUUCCUCUUCCCAUUUCAACUAUUAAGAAAAACCCUAAAGCUUGCAGCCUCAAUCUUUUUACUGGUCAUAGCAUUCAUGUACUAAUUUAGAUGAUAAGUACACAUGAAUUAAGGAUUUAGAUUGUGGUUGUAGAUGAGUUUUUGGUUGAAUUUGCCAUUUAAAUCCUUAUGGAUUAGAGGUUUCCAGGAGAAGAUGAAACUUAACAGCAAGUUAUAUCUACUAGUGGAAGCAAAAUCAUAAUCCAUUUUGUUAGGCUUUAAGAGAUAUCAUAGAGCAGUUAUAGUGGGUAUUUUUUUCCAUGAAAAGAUUAAUCAUACCUGUAGUAAUUUUAUGGUAUAACUAACUUGUCAAUCCACCUCUUUCUUGAUUUCUCUUUUAGCUCCUAAUAUUUUCAACUUUCACAAAUUCUAGCACUUUGUUUUAUUUCAAUCUUCUUUUGCAGACCCAAUAUAUGCUUGACCAGCUUUCUGAACUUCAGAAUAAGGAACAAAUGCUAAUGGAAACUAAGAGGGCUUUGUCAAUAAAGCUUGAAGAAAUUAGUGCCAGAAACCAGCUCCGAAUAUCAUGGGAAGGUGGUGAGCAAAGUGUAGCAUUCACUAACCAGUAGGCUUAAUCUAUGGGGUUGUUUCAGCCAUUGGAAUGCAAUCCAACUUUGCAGAUAGGGAUUCACAUUCAAGGAGCAAGAAACAUCGCAGCAACUCAUUGGGAUCGAGCAGUCAGAAUUCAGAAUCAAGUGACACACAAGAGCUAGAUUUGGAGCUUAGACUAUCAAUGUAAUCAAUAAUUUUUUUUUGCCACUUUAAAUGCAUGCUCAUGGAACUACAUUUUAUGCUUUCCUAGAAUUGUAAGUUCAAAUAAGGUGUUGAUCUGCAAGUCAUACAUACAAUAU
This is a long non-coding RNA of Gossypium raimondii (Peruvian cotton), 967 nucleotides long. RefSeq lists it as uncharacterized. The transcript is spliced from 4 exons. NCBI's taxonomy places the organism in Eukaryota, Viridiplantae, Streptophyta, Magnoliopsida, Malvales, Malvaceae. The record is from RefSeq and is a predicted model, not a curated record.